AUGUCCAGGCCCCAGUCAUGCAGAGAGUUUAAUCAGUCCCUACUGAUCUCCAAGAAUCUGAAAUGUAGCUGGAUAAGGACCCAGUCCAGCAAAGUACUUAAGGAUAUCCUCAAGUAAACAUAUGAUGAGCCCCAUUUUUAGCAGGAUUUAGCAAGAAGUGCUUUUUGGAGUGGAGCAUCUCGGAAGACGCUGCUUCUUGGAAGGGCUGUGUAAGACCAAGGUUCACCAGCACCAAAUGCAAUCUCAGUCCAAAUUGUCUGGUUGUCUUGCACUCAUCAAAGCAACUCUGCUCAACAGUAUUGCUUGCAGUGAUGGCUCCAUGCCUCAGGGGAGGCUGGUGAACUGUGACUUCUUCAUAAGUGCACAUUUGUGACUGCACACCUCUUAGUACGUUUGAGUUUCUUUUGCUGACUAUCAAAGAGACAACAAAAUAAUCUAGGAGUGGGCAGAGGAAUCUUCUGAGUCCUGCAGGACCCAGCAGCUGUGUUCGCUGUGUGACAUCUGGACACUUCAUCAGAUCUUCUGGCUUUGGAGUACCUUGAACCACGUGCAUCAGUGCUAUCCUAUGCUGAAAAGCACAAAGAGCAUCAGGAGACAAUGAGGGGGAAGGAAGCCCAUUGCCUGCCAUGGUAGGGUAUUCACUCCUUCCUCCAUCACGGACAUCUCUUUGGCUGUGUUGUGGCUAACGAAGAACAAGGCUGGGACUGUUAUUACCACAGAAUGGAAAAAAACAGGGCUUGAAGAUACCCAAGGAGGUAUGGUCAUUUAGUAUGGCCCCAUCUACCCAUCAGCCUGUAGCAGCAUCCACCACGAGCCCUGCCAUGGAGUCAGAGCCCUAAUGCCAGAAGGAUUUCAGGUGGAGUGAUGCUGCAGCUCCACGCCCUGCACACGGGAUGGAGAGCCGCCCGCCACCCACGCUGCGACAUGUGUUCCGCAACCUGAUGGCUGUUCAUAAAACCAGCACGUGGAACAGGAAAAUGCCGUCUGAUCCAAAACGCCCUGGGGUGUAUUAUGUCAAUGUCAUAUCCAUUAGGAAAGUACAGCGAGCGCGCCGAAUGGCUUCUUAUGCUCAGAGCCCGUUUCUAUUAUUCACAUCUGCUGUCAGAGCUGCAGCACGUACACAGCCCCAGCUUUGUGGCUGUCCAAACCUGCAGGAAACAAAAAUAGCUCCCAGCCUGGAGAGCUCUGAAAGCACAAGAGUGGGUGUACGGAGCAGCACAGCGCCCCAAUGA
RNAcentral lists this long non-coding RNA (1232 nucleotides) under Coturnix japonica (Japanese quail). Its description in RNAcentral is "lncRNA (ENSCJPG00005018041.1)". Lineage: Eukaryota; Metazoa; Chordata; Aves; Galliformes; Phasianidae. The record is from RNAcentral.